AAUCCCUGUCUCUCUCCUGUCAUUUUAGGGGUGGAUUCUCAGACUGUGAUCCAGGAGCCGGCGAUGUCAGUGUCUCCUGGAGGGACCGUCACACUCACCUGUGCCUUUAGCUCUGGGUCAGUCACUACUAGUAACUACCCCGGCUGGUACCAGCAGACACCAGGCCAGCCUCCCCGACAGCUGAUCUACCAAACAAACAGCCGCCCGACUGGGGUCCCCAGUCGCUUCUCUGGAGCCAUCUCUGGGAACAAAGCCACCCUCACCAUCACGGGGGCCCAGGCUGAGGACGAGGCCGACUAUUUCUGUGCUCUGGAGAAAAGUAGUGCUAAUAUUUUCGGCGGUGGGACCCAUCUGACCGUCCUCGGUCAGCCCAAGGCCGCUCCCACGGUCAACCUCUUCCCGCCCUCCUCUGAGGAGCUCGGCACCAACAAGGCCACCCUGGUGUGUCUAAUAAGUGACUUCUACCCGGGCGCCGUGACGGUGACCUGGAAGGCAGGCGGCACCACCGUCACCCAGGGCGUGGAGACCACCAAGCCCUCGAAACAGAGCAACAACAAGUACGCGGCCAGCAGCUACCUGGCCCUGUCCGCCAGUGACUGGAAAUCUUCCAGCGGCUUCACCUGCCAGGUCACCCACGAGGGGACCAUUGUGGAGAAGACAGUGACGCCCUCCGAGUGCGCCUAGGUCCCUGGGCCCCCACCCUCAGGGGCCUGGAGCCACAGGACCCCCGCGAGGGUCUCCCCCCGCGACCCUGGUCCAGCCCAGCCCUUCCUCCUGCACCUGUCAACUCCCAAUAAACCGUCCUCCUUGUCAUUCAGAAA
Sus scrofa (pig) is the source of this 821-nucleotide non-coding RNA. NCBI's taxonomy places the organism in Eukaryota, Metazoa, Chordata, Mammalia, Artiodactyla, Suidae. The record is from the annotation of a RefSeq genome assembly.